UAAUACGGAGGAUCCGAGCGUUAUCCGGAUUUAUUGGGUUUAGAGGGUGCGUAGGCGGCUCAUUAAGUCAGGGGUGAAAGACGGCAGCUCAACUGUCGCAGUGCCUUUGAUACUGAUGAGCUUGAAUGUGGUUGAAGAUGGCGGAAUGAGACAAGUAGCGGUGAAAUGCAUAGAUAUGUCUCAGAACUCCGAUUGCGAAGGCAGCUGUCUAAGUCAUUAUUGACGCUGAUGCACGAAAGCGUGGGGAUCGAACAGGAUUAGAUACCCUGGUAGUCCACGCCCUAAACGAUGAUAACUCGAUGUUGGCGAUACACAGUCAGCGUCUUAGCGAAAGCGUUAAGUUAUCCACCUGGGGAGUACGCCCGCAAGGGUGAAACUCAAAGGAAUUGACGGGGGCCCGCACAAGCGGAGGAGCAUGUGGUUUAAAUUCGAUGAUACGCGAGGAACCUUACCCGGGCUUGAAAGUUACUGAAUUAUCUAGAG
Molecule: ribosomal RNA, 483 nt
Filed under: uncultured Sphingobacterium sp.
Lineage: Bacteria; Pseudomonadati; Bacteroidota; Sphingobacteriia; Sphingobacteriales; Sphingobacteriaceae
Description: bacterial SSU rRNA
Rfam family: Bacterial small subunit ribosomal RNA
Source: RNAcentral